AAGAAAAAAAAUAUAAGUUAGAGAAAUUGUGAAAGAUGAAAUCCAAAAUGUUAAAAGAAACAUUCUUUUUUAUGGCAAUUACGACAAUUAUGUUUUCUUUUCCAUUUUCAGUGUAUGCAGAUGAAAAAAAUGAAUAUCACCAAUGUGUGGCUGAAUGUUCCUCAACUUGCUUUGCUGACAUUGCUGGUUGCUAUGAACAUUGUUCACAAGAUUGUAAACAUCCUAAUUUUUAUGCGUCAAAAUUUUGGAUGCACUGCCAAUUUAAAGUUUGUGAGAAGGUUAAAGAUAAGGAGUGGAUGAAGAUUUGUCUUAAGAGAUGCGGGAAUUUGGCCCCUGCACCAUAAAAUCAAAGGUUGAGAAAUGAUUGUCAUAGAAAUGAGUGAAAUAUGAUACUUUAAUUAAUUAAUGUAAUAAAAAGGAUGUAAAUUUUAUUGUUAUUCCUAGUGAAAGUUUUAUCUUUUAA
Capsicum annuum is the source of this 463-nucleotide long non-coding RNA. RefSeq lists it as uncharacterized. The transcript has 2 exons. Lineage: Eukaryota; Viridiplantae; Streptophyta; Magnoliopsida; Solanales; Solanaceae. The record is from RefSeq and is a predicted model, not a curated record.